CUACAUAGUCUUUUCUUUUUUCUUUUCCCAGAAGUUUAUCUGAAAUUAUUUCAUUUAAAUAUUUGAUUGGAACAACAAAGUAAUUUGAUUAUUUAUGCUAAAGUGAAAACUCAUUUUUUGGGCACAACAAUAAUUUAUAAACUCAAAUGAUACUGGUGGGAUUUGCAGUCACUGGAACUUCGUUUUUCUUAUGAUUAGUUUCUACCGAUAAGGAGAAGAAGUUGCAUAGUCUCACGAUCUCCAAUCAACUCUUUUGAAGGCGAACAUGUUUUGCUUGAAGUGAAGGAUUAGGAUGGUAAUGGGAUGGAUAUUGUUACUCUGCUUCACUAUUGUUACUUUACUUGAUGCAUUCAUCUCCACCCCAUUUUGCUUUAAUUUAAUUGUUACUACUUAUUUUUAAUUUUUCAAUAGUAAAUAUUUAAACAUAAUUCUUCAAAAUAAUAUUUUAAAAUAAAAUAUAUGAUUUUUUUUAUAUUAUGUUAUUACAGUUUUACUCUUUUAAUAGUUUAUAUAUAUAUAUAAGAAUAAAACUAUAAGUGUAUAUAGUGGAGUGAAUUGGAUAAGGGCAAACAAUUACUAUAAUUACUAGUCAAAAAAAAAAAAUCCACCCUUCCCACUUACAUCCACUUUUCAAAUAAAAAUACCCACUUCAUUUAUAGUGGAUUGGUUCAAAAUUCAUAGGACGGUUUGAAUUUUGUCAUCCUUACGAAUGAUGCAUACUAACAAACUCGGCUGCAAAGCUUAAACAAGAGUUUUACUGGAGUUUAGUUGGAUACAAAAGUUCCAUUGCCAGUUCAGGCCGCUGCAUGUGGAAAUUUAAUCUCGUCUCAAUGCCAGUAAAGUGAAGGUAUUUCUUGAUUAAAAAAAAUAAAGCAGGAUUGCAAAUGCAGAUAUGUUUGUUGAGAAUGCUGCUUAUGAUUUAACUUGAAUGGAUUCAGUUUAGGGAGACAUACCAUUUAUCCUUUGAGUUUUGAAGAUAAAUGGAAGGUGUUAUCGUAUUCGGAAAUAACGUGUAAAUAUGAUAUUCCGUGAGCGGUUUAGAUUUAAUAAUUCUAAUUUUUUAUAUACCAUUUAUGACGUCGUGUUACCAUUUUUUUCAUAUCAUCAUAAAGUUUGCUUAAAA
Long non-coding RNA from Gossypium arboreum, 1123 nucleotides. RefSeq lists it as uncharacterized. NCBI's taxonomy places the organism in Eukaryota, Viridiplantae, Streptophyta, Magnoliopsida, Malvales, Malvaceae. The transcript is spliced from 2 exons. The record is from RefSeq and is a predicted model, not a curated record.